Molecule: ribosomal RNA, 406 nt
Filed under: uncultured bacterium
Lineage: Bacteria
Description: partial 16S ribosomal RNA
Rfam family: Bacterial small subunit ribosomal RNA
Source: RNAcentral
AUUGAACGCUGGCGGCAGGCCUAACACAUGCAAGUCGAACGAGUGGCGGACGGGUGAGUCAUGUCUGGGAAACUGCCUGAUGGAGGGGGAAAACUACUGGAAACGGUAGUUAAUACCGCAAACCAUCAGCUGUGCCCAGAUGGGAUUAGCUUGUUGGUGGGGUAACGGCUCACAACGGCGACGAUCCCUAGCGGGUCUGAGAGGGUGAGCGGCAACACGGGAACUGAGACACGGUCCAGACUCCUACGGGAGGCAGCAGUGGGGAAUAUUGGAAAAUGGGCGCAAGCCUGAUGCAGCCAUGCGGCGUGGAUGAAGAAGGCUUUCGGGUUGUAAAGUACUUUCAGCGGGGAGGCGGUACCCACAGAAAAAGCACCGGCUAACUCCGUGCCAGCAGCCGCGGUAAUAC